CAAGACAUAGCUUAACUUUUAAAGCAUUCAACUUACACUUGAAAAAUGCCUAAUAAACCAACGAGGCUGUCUUGA
RNAcentral lists this transfer RNA (75 nucleotides) under Chelodina expansa. RNAcentral describes it as "tRNA-Val". It matches the Rfam family "tRNA". Rfam says of the family: Transfer RNA (tRNA) molecules are approximately 80 nucleotides in length. Lineage: Eukaryota; Metazoa; Chordata; Testudines; Chelidae. The record is from RNAcentral.